RNAcentral lists this ribosomal RNA (402 nucleotides) under Triticum aestivum (bread wheat). Its description in RNAcentral is "partial small subunit ribosomal RNA". The record is from RNAcentral. Lineage: Eukaryota; Viridiplantae; Streptophyta; Magnoliopsida; Poales; Poaceae.
AUGAUUGCAUUUAGGGAUGCGCUUGAAGUUUUUGGCUUGGUUGAUCUGGGUUUUUCGGGGGUCCCUUUCACCUAUGACAAUAAAAGAAACGGUGUGAACACUGUCAGGGUGAGGCUUGAUAGGGCCGUGGCAACAAAUGAGUGGAGGAAUCUGUUUGCCUUUGCCUCUGUACAUCACAUUCUCAGUCCUUGCUCGGACCAUGUGGCGGUCCUGCUCAAAGGCGAGGCGGAUUCAGGUCCGGUCGGGCCGAAACAGCGCCGGUACGAGAUUUUUUGGGAGCGGGACUCCACGUUGCCGGAGGUCAUCAAGAAUGCAUGGGAGUCGGUUGGUAAUGUCCAAAGUUUGGAGUAGCUGCGAGAGGCGCUAACCAAGACGAUGGUGUCGCUUGGAUCUUGGUGCAGA